Molecule: unclassified non-coding RNA, 345 nt
Filed under: soil metagenome
Description: partial contains 5.8S ribosomal RNA, internal transcribed spacer 2, and large subunit ribosomal RNA
Rfam family: 5.8S ribosomal RNA (bases 1-119)
Source: RNAcentral
GAUGAAGAACGUAGCGAAAUGCGAUACGUAAUGUGAAUUGCAAAUUCAGUGAAUCAUCGAGUCUUUGAACGCACAUUGCGCCCCCUGGUAUUCCGGGGGGCAUGCCUGUCCGAGCGUCAUUGCUGCCCUCAAGCACGGCUUGUGUGUUGGGCCCCGUCCUCCGAUCCCGGGGGACGGGCCCGAAAGGCAGCGGCGGCACCGCGUCCUGUCCUCGAGCGUAUGGGGCUUUGUCACCCGCUCUGUAGGCCCGGCCGGCGCUUGCCGAUCAACCCAAAUUUUUAUCCAGGUUGACCUCGGAUCAGGUAGGGAUACCCGCUGAACUUAAGCAUAUCAAUAAGCGGAGGA